AGUUUAAUGACCUUUUCAAGAAGUCCCUGCUACGUUUGGAGACCACAAAAGAAAAUGUGGACUAUAUGCUUCCAGAGAUAGUAGGUUUAGAGGGGAUGAAGGGGGGAGUUACUUAAAAUAUUAGUGAAUAUGAUUCUUAAUGACAUGAUUUUAGAAAUAUAAGAAUUCUCAAAAGCCUGUUCUCAUUAAUCAAGCUAAUAUAAAAUGUAUAACACAGACAAGACAGACAAAAUGCUGAAUUACAACUCCUUGAUUAUUUGAUUAUGUUUCCUUUAUUUUAGGUCCUGACACUUAAUGAUCUUAUAACGUUAAUCACUUCUAUUUUGAACCAACUUGGGGGCUUCAUUGGGAAAUAAUUCUCUCACAACUAUGUCAGAAGUUAUAUA
Molecule: long non-coding RNA, 386 nt
Organism: Ailuropoda melanoleuca (giant panda)
Lineage: Eukaryota; Metazoa; Chordata; Mammalia; Carnivora; Ursidae
Exons: 4
Source: RefSeq, a predicted model, not a curated record